RNAcentral lists this ribosomal RNA (468 nucleotides) under uncultured bacterium. RNAcentral's name for it is "partial 16S ribosomal RNA". It matches the Rfam family "Bacterial small subunit ribosomal RNA", at positions 28 to 507 of the family's 1533-position model. The record is from RNAcentral.
GACGAACGCUGGCGGCGUGCUUAACACAUGCAAGUCGAACGGAAAGGCCCUGCUUUUGUGGGGUGCUCGAGUGGCGAACGGGUGAGUAACACGUGAGUAACCUGCCCUUGACUUUGGGAUAACUUCAGGAAACUGGGGCUAAUACCGGAUAGGAGCUCCUGCUGCAUGGUGGGGGUUGGAAAGUUUCGGCGGUAGGGGAUGGACUCGCGGCUUAUCAGCUUGUUGGUGGGGUAGUGGCUUACCAAGGCUUUGCCGGGUAGCCGGCCUGGGAGGGUGGCCGGCCACAUUGGGACUGAGAUACGGCGCAGACUCCUACGGGAGGCAGCAGUGGGGAAUAUUGCACAGUGGGCGGAAGCCUGAUGCAGCAACGCCGCGUGCGGGAUGACGGCCUUCGGGUUGUAAACCGCUUUCGCCUGUGACGAAGCGUGAGUGACGGUAAUGGGUAAAGAAGCACCGGCUAACUACGUG